RNAcentral lists this ribosomal RNA (497 nucleotides) under uncultured bacterium. Its description in RNAcentral is "partial 16S ribosomal RNA". It matches the Rfam family "Bacterial small subunit ribosomal RNA", at positions 28 to 507 of the family's 1533-position model. The record is from RNAcentral.
GAUGAACGCUGGCGGCGUGCCUAAUACAUGCAAGUCGAGCGAACAGAUGAGGAGCUUGCUCCUCUGACGUUAGCGGCGGACGGGUGAGUAACACGUGGAUAACCUACCUAUAAGACUGGGAUAACUUCGGGAAACCGGAGCUAAUACCGGAUAAUAUAUUGAACCGCAUGGUUCAAUAGUGAAAGACGGUUUUGCUGUCACUUAUAGAUGGAUCCGCGCCGCAUUAGCUAGUUGGUAAGGUAACGGCUUACCAAGGCAACGAUGCGUAGCCGACCUGAGAGGGUGAUCGGCCACACUGGAACUGAGACACGGUCCAGACUCCUACGGGAGGCAGCAGUAGGGAAUCUUCCGCAAUGGCCGAAAGCCUGACGGAGCAACGCCGCGUGAGUGAUGAAGGUCUUCGGAUCGUAAAACUCUGUUAUUAGGGAAGAACAAAUGUGUAAGUAACUAUGCACGUCUUGACGGUACCUAAUCAGAAAGCCACGGCUAACUACGUG